RNAcentral lists this ribosomal RNA (316 nucleotides) under uncultured bacterium. RNAcentral describes it as "bacterial SSU rRNA". It matches the Rfam family "Bacterial small subunit ribosomal RNA", at positions 28 to 334 of the family's 1533-position model. The record is from RNAcentral.
GAUGAACGCUAGCUACAGGCUUAACACAUGCAAGUCGAGGGGCAGCAUUUUAGUUUGCUUGCAAACUAAAGAUGGCGACCGGCGCACGGGUGAGUAACACGUAUCCAACCUGCCGAUAACUCGGGGAUAGCCUUUCGAAAGAAAGAUUAAUACCCGAUGGCAUAGUUCUUCCGCAUGGUAGAACUAUUAAAGAAUUUCGGUCAUCGAUGGGGAUGCGUUCCAUUAGCUUGUUGGCGGGGUAACGGCCCACCAAGGCAUCGAUGGAUAGGGGUUCUGAGAGGAAGGUCCCCCACAUUGGAACUGAGACACGGUCCAA